AGUCACUGACAUUAGAUACCCCCUGUAGUCCAGGGUGUAAACGCUGCAGACUUGGUGUUGGAGGCCCUUUGGGGGCAUUCAGUGCCGGAGAGAAGUUGUUAAGUCUGCUACUUGGGGAGUACGUCCGCAAGGAUGAAACUUAAAGGAAUUGGCGGGGGAGCACCGCAACGGGAGGAGCGUGCGGUUUAAUUGGAUUCAACACCGUAAAACUCACCAGGGAAGACUGUUACAUGAAGGCCGAGAUGAAGACUCUGCUAGAUUUUUCAG
Molecule: ribosomal RNA, 267 nt
Filed under: uncultured archaeon
Lineage: Archaea
Description: partial 16S ribosomal RNA
Rfam family: Archaeal small subunit ribosomal RNA
Source: RNAcentral